GCCAAGUGUGAAAGGGUGACUCACGUUGCUCAGGAUUCGGCAAUCCUCUCCUCAAAUACUUCACAUAGCUGGGCCCCUAUUCAUGCUGCCUGACUUCAGGUGUCUACCCAAGCUUUCUUAGCUGUCUCCAAGAACAGAGGAAACCUCAUUCUCCCCUACAAGAGCUGGUCUCCCUCACAUAGAAGCAAUCAACAGUGAAAAAUGCUUACAGGGAAAAGUGACGGGAACCAGUGGCUGAAAAUGACCCUCACCAGAUGCAGACGAUCAGCCCAUUGACAAUAAUAAUAAUGAGAAUAUGAGCGAAGGGGCUCCAGGGAGGUCUUUGUCCCUGCUUUGGGGACCUCUCUUGGCAGAACUGUGGCAAGGACAGUGACAUCCUUUCUUUAUUCUGGUUGCCUGAUCUCCUUUGAUUUACAGUAUCUGCUGCAAUAAGCCGAAGACUUCAAUCUUUCAUGAAGACUCAACUGCUGAGCUGGCCUCAUCCCCUCUAGAGUGAGGUUUCUGCCUAGAAAAUGGGGGGAAAAUAAUAGAUUUCCAUCGAUUGAGUGUUUUAAAAACAGGUUACACACAGAUUUUUCAAGGUUUAAACUUAAUUUGUAUAAUCUCACCACUGAGUGCAAGUUAGAAGACUUGAUGCAAAUCCAAGCUUGAUUGAUUAAUAGGCACCAUGUGCAACACAUUCAUGCUCCUGGAAGCAGAAACUUCUCCCCCCUUCAGUUAGGACGGGACAUUUUGCUUGAUCAGAGCAACGGAAACUUGAAUCUUUGUGUGACUCUGCAUCAAAGAGACAUCUGGGACUGACUGGCUGAGCUUUUACAGCAAAAGAACUACAUCAGAAUUGAUUACCUAGACUGACUGUUUCGAAUGAGUCUUCAUAGGGUGCAAUGAUUAAGACUCUUGUAGAGGUUUAUUUUAGUAUUUUAGAGUUUAAAAUUGCCUCACCUGCUUAUGCAAUUAUACAAAUGCAUCCUACUUGAUUUAGCCUCCAUCCCCAGUGUUUUCUCAAAGGGCAAGUAGUUUUGUCUGGAUUUGACAACCGGAUUUAACUAGAGAAAGUAGGGUUAGAUUUGUGAGAGGUUUAGGCACUGAAAUCCCUAAUUUCUAGGUCCCUCGCCACCAGCAGUUUAUGAGCUGCAUUCACUCUCCCUGCAUAGUUCAUGGUGGAGAUGAUUGGUUGCUUCGGUGUUGAACUUAAAGGAGUUGGCAAUAUUAAGUGGGAUCUUCCUGAAGGGAGCACGCAGCUGCUUACAUUCAAGCACUAGGAAAAGUGGAGGACAAGGGUGUAUCUGCAAUUCUCUCUUGCACUAAAAGCUCCUUGAGGCUGGAGUGAGGCAAUCCUGUCUGCUUGGGAUCCAUUGUCUGAAAUCUUCUCCUGGAGAUUGGUACCUACGCCCUUUCUUUCAAAAGACUCCACACAGAUCAGUCUUUUAAAAACAAAGCAGGAAGAAGAAAAGGUGUGCACCUGUGUGUGUCUACACAGAUGGAACAGACGCUGCUUUGCAUGCAGAGGCUCUGAGCGUGGCUACCAGGGCCCGCCAAGCCACUCCACAAAGUUUCUCCAUGGUUUCUCCAUGCCAGCGAGGCUUAGGUGGGAUUGAGGCACCACACAGCCCAGUCUUGUCAGCUCUGGAGAUACGAAGUGUGGCUCUCCACAUCUGGGGCUGAUAUUUCUCCCAGUGUAAGAUCGACUUUCUCAG
Gallus gallus (chicken) is the source of this 1697-nucleotide long non-coding RNA. Lineage: Eukaryota; Metazoa; Chordata; Aves; Galliformes; Phasianidae. The record is from Ensembl.